Hydra vulgaris (swiftwater hydra) is the source of this 385-nucleotide non-coding RNA. The record is from RefSeq and is a predicted model, not a curated record. Lineage: Eukaryota; Metazoa; Cnidaria; Hydrozoa; Anthoathecata; Hydridae.
AAACAAAGUCAAAAAAAUUUUGUUUAAAAAACCAGUUGCUAUAGUUAAACCUUAUAUUCCUGAAAAGGAAUAUAAAUUGCCGCAAUUUUAUGUACCUAGAGUGGUAGAGAACAGACCUCUAGAAGAAGAAGAUGAAAAUAUGUAUGCAGGCAAACUUGAUUAUUAUGAUGAUUUGCCUGAUAUAGAUGAUGAACAAAUACGCUUAAUGCAUGAGUAUGAAUUUGGAACACCGCAAAGAAGAAAUCGUUACUUUUGUCGCGAAUGUUGCUCAUGUGUCAAUAGCGAUAGCGUUUGUCGUGGAUGUUGCUCAUGUAUCGAUAGCAAUGAAUGUGAAGGAUGUUGUGGCUGUUUGUUUUAGUUUCCUUUUAUUAAAAAAAAUUUGUAC